RNAcentral lists this ribosomal RNA (301 nucleotides) under uncultured bacterium. RNAcentral describes it as "partial 16S ribosomal RNA". It matches the Rfam family "Bacterial small subunit ribosomal RNA", at positions 509 to 807 of the family's 1533-position model. The record is from RNAcentral.
CAGCAGCCACGGUAAUACGAAGGGUGCAAACGUUAAUCGGAAUUACUGGGCGUAAAGCGUGCGUAGGCGGUGAGUUAAGUCUGCUGUGAAAUCCCCGGGCUCAACCUGGGAAUGGCAGUGGAUACUGGCUCGCUAGAGUGUGUCAGAGGAUGGUGGAAUUCCCGGUGUAGCGGUGAAAUGCGUAGAGAUCGGGAGGAACAUCAGUGGCGAAGGCGGCCAUCUGGGACAACACUGACGCUGAGGCACGAAAGCGUGGGGAGCAAACAGGAUUAGAUACCCCAGUAGUCCCUGUCUCUUAUAC